Hyla sarda is the source of this 400-nucleotide long non-coding RNA. RefSeq lists it as uncharacterized. The transcript has 3 exons. The record is from RefSeq and is a predicted model, not a curated record. Lineage: Eukaryota; Metazoa; Chordata; Amphibia; Anura; Hylidae.
ACAACGCAAUGCUGGCAGCAUGUCUAUGUUUGUAUCACAUUUUGUUAUUUCAUUUUCAUCUAAGAUAUUCUCAUUUAAGAUAAUAAUGUGAUAUCAGAAUAAUUUUUUCGAUUUUUAUUUCAAACUUUCUCUGUAGGAAUGUUAACAGACCAGAUUUCACAGAAAAGUUUGAGAUCUUUUAUUUGACUUACCUAGUACAUCUGCGAUUUUAAAAUGCAAAGAAUAUUGAUUUAAGUAGUCAAGAAACUCCAGGAGUACAAAAAAGUGUCUGUGCAUGAGGCUUGUGCCGCUAAUUCACCUGCAACUAUGAUCCCCCCCUGGGAACACCUGCUGCUAUAAAAAGAACUGAGAUGACCGAACACAAUUGUGAUAUCAUGCACGAAAUCCUGUUUUUUUUUUU